Molecule: ribosomal RNA, 253 nt
Filed under: uncultured bacterium
Lineage: Bacteria
Description: partial 16S ribosomal RNA
Rfam family: Bacterial small subunit ribosomal RNA
Source: RNAcentral
UACGUAGGGUGCAAGCGUUAAUCGGAAUUACUGGGCGUAAAGCGUGCGCAGGCGGUUUUGUAAGUCUGUCGUGAAAUCCCCGGGCUCAACCUGGGAAUUGCGAUGGAGACUGCAAGGCUAGAAUCUGGCAGAGGGGGGUAGAAUUCCACGUGUAGCAGUGAAAUGCGUAGAGAUGUGGAGGAACACCGAUGGCGAAGGCAGCCCCCUGGCUCGCAACUGACGCUCAGACACGACAGCAUGGGGAGCGAACGGG